CAACCCGGAUCGAGAGGUUCGGUUGAACCGGCAGGAGUCAGCAGAGGGCAUAGUACCCAGGAGGUCAUGAACUCCGGGAAGGCC
This 84-nucleotide non-coding RNA is filed under the name Kyrpidia spormannii. Lineage: Bacteria; Bacillati; Bacillota; Bacilli; Caryophanales; Alicyclobacillaceae. The record is from RNAcentral.